Molecule: ribosomal RNA, 292 nt
Filed under: uncultured bacterium
Lineage: Bacteria
Description: partial 16S ribosomal RNA
Rfam family: Bacterial small subunit ribosomal RNA
Source: RNAcentral
GUGUCAGCCGCCGCGGUAAGACGGAGGGUGCAAGCGUUGUUCGGAAUUACUGGGCGUAAAGCGCGGGCAGGUGGUCUUUUAAGUCCUUUGUGAAAUCCCGGGGCUCAACUCCGGAUGUGCAUAGGAUACUGGAAGACUUGGGACUGGUAGAGGCGAGCGGAAUUCCUGGUGUAGCGGUGGAAUGCGUAGAUAUCAGGAAGAACACCGGUGGCGAAGGCGGCUCGCUGGGCCAGAUCCGACACUCAUCCGCGAAAGCGUGGGGAGCAAACAGGAUUAGAAACCCUCGUAGUCC